UCUUCGCGACUUCAGGAGGCCGAACGCAGGCCUUGCGCAGGGAGGUGACGGGCAUGGAUGCCCGUCAAGCGCUGUGCCCGAGGAUGGGGCCUGCAGCGCGGUCCUCCCGGGAGCAAGCCCUACGCUCGGCCUCCUGAAGUCGCAAUCU
Regulatory RNA element from Pseudomonas putida KT2440, 148 nucleotides. NCBI's taxonomy places the organism in Bacteria, Pseudomonadati, Pseudomonadota, Gammaproteobacteria, Pseudomonadales, Pseudomonadaceae. The record is from Rfam.